This 713-nucleotide ribosomal RNA is filed under the name uncultured Actinomycetales bacterium. Its description in RNAcentral is "bacterial SSU rRNA". It matches the Rfam family "Bacterial small subunit ribosomal RNA", at positions 39 to 765 of the family's 1533-position model. The record is from RNAcentral. Lineage: Bacteria; Bacillati; Actinomycetota; Actinomycetes; Actinomycetales.
GCGGCGUGCUUAACACAUGCAAGUCGAACGGAAAGGCCCUGCUUGCAGGGUACUCGAGUGGCGAACGGGUGAGUAACACGUGGGUGAUCUGCCCUGCACUCCGGGAUAAGCUUGGGAAACUGGGUCUAAUACCGGAUAGGAGCCAUCUUUAGUGUGGUGGUUGGAAAGUUUUUUCGGUGUAGGAUGAGCUCGCGGCCUAUCAGCUUGUUGGUGGGGUAAUGGCCUACCAAGGCGGCGACGGGUAGCCGGCCUGAGAGGGUGUACGGCCACAUUGGGACUGAGAUACGGCCCAGACUCCUACGGGAGGCAGCAGUGGGGAAUAUUGCACAAUGGGCGCAAGCCUGAUGCAGCGACGCCGCGUGGGGGAUGAAGGCCUUCGGGUUGUAAACUCCUUUCGCUAGGGACGAAGCUUUGUGUGACGGUACCUAGAUAAGAAGCACCGGCUACCUACGUGCCAGCAGCCGCGGUAAUACGUAGGGUGCGAGCGUUGUCCGGAAUUACUGGGCGUAAAGAGCUCGUAGGUGGUUUGUCGCGUCGUCUGUGAAAUUCUGGGGCUUAACUCCGGGCGUGCAGGCGAUACGGGCAUAACUUGAGUGCUGUAGGGGUAACUGGAAUUCCUGGUGUAGCGGUGAAAUGCGCAGAUAUCAGGAGGAACACCGAUGGCGAAGGCAGGUUACUGGGCAGUUACUGACGCUGAGGAGCGAAAGCAUGGG